GACGAACGCUGGCGGCGUGCUUAACACAUGCAAGUCGAACGGAAAGGCCCUGCUUUUGUGGGGUGCUCGAGUGGCGAACGGGUGAGUAACACGUGAGUAACCUGCCCUUGACUUUGGGAUAACUUCAGGAAACUGGGGCUAUUACCGGAUAGGAGCUCCUGCUGCAUGGUGGGGGUUGGAAAGUUUCGGUGGUUGGGGAUGGACUCGCGGCUUAUCAGCUUGUUGGUGGGGUAGUGGCUUACCAAGGCUUUGACGGGUAGCCGGCCUGAGAGGGUGACCGGCCACAUUGGACUGAGAUACGGCCCAGACUCCUACGGGAGGCAGCAGUGGGGAAUAUUGCACAAUGGGCGGAAGCCUGAUGCAGCAACGCCGCGUGCGGGAUGACGGCCUUCGGGUUGUAAACCGCUUUCGCCUGUGAUGAAGCGUGAGUGACGGUAAUGGGUAAAGAAGCACCGGCUAACUACGUG
RNAcentral lists this ribosomal RNA (467 nucleotides) under uncultured bacterium. RNAcentral's name for it is "partial 16S ribosomal RNA". It matches the Rfam family "Bacterial small subunit ribosomal RNA", at positions 28 to 507 of the family's 1533-position model. The record is from RNAcentral.